AAAAGUGUUGUGCACGCUGAGACUCUUUAUAAAGAGAAGCUCCCAGCAAAGUGUCGGUAGCGAAGAAUUCUCAGGUGACACUGGCGACGUAUUUUUUGGUUUCCACCUGAUUGCAGAGCUCCGGGAUGCGGCCAGGCGCCAGGCCAUGGCCCUGGAACCACUGGCGAGCAAGGCCAGGUUGCCGAGCGGCAGGUUUCAGCCAUAGAAGCCAUUCCGCCUUUGGGCCUUGAAGGUCUUCUCUGAACCUCUUCAUUCUGCCCUCCGGCUGCUCUGCGGAGCUGUACGUGUGGUCAAGAAGGACAUUCUCCAAGGCAGUAGUUGAUGUCCCACCAUCACUCCGUAUGUGGCAGCUACGUGAGGCUUCCUCAGUGGCUGGUGACGGAGUGUCAUGCGCCUGCGAUAGAAUGUAUAAUGCAUGCUAACUUAGCCACCUAUUCACAGGACAGAGCACCGUUAGCAUGCAUCCAAUCCAGUCUUAUUACACACACAAGCAUGAUGAUUGUUCAUGGCAAGGCUGCAAUGGCACUUAUUACAUUGACAGGUAAUCAAUGUAACUGUCUGAUAAUGUAAUGGUUGGGGAGGGGGGACCUGUCAGAAUCCACACAGCCGUGUGUGGGACAUGUUACGCAUGUGUCGAGUUCUCUGGUCCUUUCAAUCCGCAAAAGCUGCAUACUUUACCAACGAAGGGGUGCAUUACAAGCUGACUGCUGACAGACCCAUGCACCAAGUUCACUUGUUUGUGCUGUUGCUCAUUUAUACAUUGCCUUUUUUACUUGGCUUGUUCCAUACAAAAGCCACAUGCAAUGAACACCUUAACUUGUGCACUCUACAUGGCGCUUCUUUUCACAGACAGCGGUGAGUGUGUUUCCAUCAUUUAGCAUUGCCAGGAGCCUUCAUCGUGGUUGUAUGACCAACAUGCAUGCAAAUUAAAAAUGUCUCCCCUUUUCGGCUACAACUUCAUUCUGCUGUGCAUGCAAUACAACUACAUGAUUGAUAGCAGUACGCUGUAUUGGUACCUUCUCUUCUUUCAUGUCAAUUGUGCAUUGAAUGAGGCUUUUCCUAAAAAAAAAAAAAAAAAAUUCAUUGUACAACUUCUGUAAAUUUUGCUAUGAUUGUCUGCACACAUGGCAGAAGAGCCCAGCAGAGACACCUAUUGGCAUGCAAAAGUGAAAUGUAUUAUAAAACCACUUCGCUACGAUUGCAUCCUUGUGUAAAACAUUAAACGCGAUCUGUCUCGAAGCUUCUGCUGUAGCACUUUCCGCUCUAUAUUGACACAUACCACUAUUUGUCAAUUCGGUUUUUGCGGUUUCUAUUGUUACACUUACUGUAUUGCUAUGAGGCAUAUGAGCUCUACGACUGGAAUGGCGAUCUUCUAAAUUUUUUUACAAGCAGUGCGGGGCUUCAAAGAAUGAGUUAUGUAGUACCACAGUUGUUUAAAAGUUCCAUUAACGCUUUCACAUCCUCUUACAACUGCA
Molecule: long non-coding RNA, 1475 nt
Organism: Dermacentor andersoni
Lineage: Eukaryota; Metazoa; Arthropoda; Arachnida; Ixodida; Ixodidae
Source: RefSeq, a predicted model, not a curated record